UUUGAACGGGUUGUAGCUGGCCUCUCACGAGGCAUGUGCACGCCUGGCUCAUCCACUCUUAACCUCUGUGCACUUUAUGUAAGAGAAAAAAAUGGUGGAAGCUUCCAGGAUCUCGCGAGAGGUCUUUGGUUGAACAAGCCGUUUUUCUUUCUUAUGUUUUACUACAAACGCUUCAGUUAUAGAAUGUCAACUGUGUAUAACACAUUUAUAUACAACUUUCAGCAACGGAUCUCUUGGCUCUCGCAUCGAUGAAGAACGCAGCGAAAUGCGAUAAGUAAUGUGAAUUGCAGAAUUCAGUGAAUCAUCGAAUCUUUGAACGCACCUUGCACUCCUUGGUAUUCCGAGGAGUAUGCCUGUUUGAGUCUCAUGGUAUUCUCAACCCCUAAAUUUUUGUAAUGAAGGUUUAGCGGGCUUGGACUUGGAGGUUGUGUCGGCCCUUGUCGGUCGACUCCUCUGAAAUGCAUUAGCGUGAAUCUUACGGAUCGCCUUCAGUGUGAUAAUUAUCUGCGCUGUGGUGUUGAAGUAUUUAUGGUGUUCAUGCUUCGAACCGUCUCCUUGCCGAGACAAUCAUUUGACAAUCUGAGCUCAAAUCAGGUAGGACUACCCGCUGAACUUAAGCAUAUCAAUAAGCGGAGGAAAAGAAACUAACAAGGAUUCCCCUAGUAACUGCGAGUGAAGCGGGAAAAGCUCAAAUUUAAAAUCUGGCGGCUUUGGUCGUCCGAGUUGUAUUCUAGAGAAGUGUUUUCCGCGUUGGACCGUGUAUAAGUCUCUUGGAAUAGAGCGUCAUAGAGGGUGAGAAUCCCGUCUUUGACACGGACUACCAAUGCUUUGUGAUACACUCUCAAAGAGUCGAGUUGUUUGGGAAUGCAGCUCAAAAUGGGUGGUAAAUUCCAUCUAAAGCUAAAUAUUGGCGAGAGACCGAUAGCGAACAAGUACCGUGAGGGAAAGAUGAAAAGCACUUUGGAAAGAGAGUUAAACAGUACGUGAAAUUGCUGAAAGGGAAACGCUUGAAGUCAGUCGCGUUAGCUAGAACUCAACCAGGCUUGCUUGGCGUAUUUUCUAGUUAACGGGCCAGCAUCAGUUUUGACCGCAGGAAAAGGGCCAGGGAAAUGUGGCAUCUUCGGAUGUGUUAUAGUCUCUGGUCGUAUACUGUGAUUGGGACUGAGGACCGCAGCACGCGCAAGCUGUGCUUAGGAUGCUGGCGUAAUGGCUUUAAACGACCCGUCUUGAAACACGGACCAAGGAGUCUAACAAACCUGCGAGUAUUUGGGUGGCAAACCCGAGUGCGCAAUGAAAGUGAAAGUUGGGAUCCCUGUCGUGGGGAGCACCGACGCCCGGACCAGACCUUCUGUGACGGAUCUGCGGUAGAGCAUGUUUGUUGGGACCCGAAAGAUGGUGAACUAUGCCUGAAUAGGGUGAAGCCAGAGGAAACUCUGGUGGAGGCUCGUAGCGAUUCUGACGUGCAAAUCGAUCGUCAAAUUUGGGUAUAGGGGCGAAAGACUAAUCGAACCAUCUAGUAGCUGGUUCCUGCCGAAGUUUCCCUCAGGAUAGCAGAAACUCAUAUCAGAUUUAUGUGGUAAAGCGAAUGAUUAGAGGCCUUGGGGUUGAAACAACCUUAACCUAUUCUCAAACUUUAAAUAUGUAAGAACGAGCCGUCACUUAGUUGGACCGCUCGGCGAUUGAGAGUUUCUAGUGGGCCAUUUUUGGUAAGCAGAACUGGCGAUGCGGGAUGAACCGAACGUGAGGUUAAGGUGCCGGAAUACACGCUCAUCAGACACCACAAAAGGUGUUAGUUCAUCUAGAC
RNAcentral lists this ribosomal RNA (1804 nucleotides) under Irpex lacteus. RNAcentral's name for it is "eukaryotic LSU rRNA". The stretch from base 581 to 1804 matches the Rfam family "Eukaryotic large subunit ribosomal RNA", at positions 1 to 1238 of the family's 3401-position model. The record is from RNAcentral. Lineage: Eukaryota; Fungi; Basidiomycota; Agaricomycetes; Polyporales; Irpicaceae.